ACUAACGAGAGUGCUCUGAAAUCGGAGUAGAUAGCCAGAAUUAACAAUGUCCAUUGAAACGCACAACGACUAUACCACUUAGCUAAGAAUUGUGUGAACAAUCAAGUCAAUAAACGUCUGGUAGUUAGUUAGAUAGUUAAUAUACUGCCUGGCAAGUUCAAUGUAUUAGUAGCCAACUAACGUUAGGUAAUACUGGUAUAUACUGCUGUAAUGCUAUGCGGUUCGUAAGGAUAGCAUAGCUAACAAAUUGUCAGCCAACGUAAGUUAUUUGAAAAGUCAGGACUUUACUACAUUGCUCAACAUUUUCUUAACAUUUGUGAUAAUUAGUUAAAUGAAUUUGUAUCCGCUCUCGUCGGACUUCGGCUGCAUAUUUUCCGCCAUUUUCUUCAAAUCUGAAAUGGUUGUGAAGCUACGCCCAUUUUCUGAAGUAUUGCAUUAUGGGCCCUGAAAGCACGGAAAUAGUGUACACUGCUUGGUUACUUCGUAUUUUGGCACGACAUCUGGGAACUUUUUGCAUACUAACUAUAACCAAAAAGCAUACUAUAUACUCAAUUCACGUCACAAAUAGUAUGGUUAGUGUGAGUAUUGAAAGAAAGUUGAUUUGAAAACCAAUAGAACAUGAGAGAAAUAUGCUACUGGUUUCAAUGGUUUAUAGAAGUCUUAAGAGAAGAAUUGUUUCUAUGGUCGGAUUUUACUUUGAAGCAAGGACCUGAGCCCUAGGACCAUGCCUCAGGACUACCUGGCCUGAUGACUCCUUGCUGUCCCCAGUCCACCUGGUUGUGCUGCCGCUCCAGUUUCAACUGUUCGGCCUGCGGCUAUGGAACCCUGACCUGUUCACCGGACAUGCUACCUAGUCCCGGACCUGCCGUUUUCGACUCUCUCUCUACCGCACCUGCUGUCUCUAACUCUGAAUGAUCGGCUAUGAAAAGCUAACUGACAUUUACUCCUGAGGUGCUGACCUGUUGCAACCACUGUGAUUAUUAUUAUUAUUAAUAUUUGACCCUGCUGGUCAUCUAUGGACGUUUGAAGAUCUUGGCCAUGUUCUGUUAUAAUCUCCACCCGGCACUGCCAGAAGAGGACUGGCCACCCCUUCCUAGGUUCCUGUCUUUCUAGGGAGUUUUUAAUAGCCACCGUGCUUCUACAUCUGCAUUGCUUGCUGUUUGGGGUUUUCUGUAUAGCACUAUGUGACAUCAGCUGAUGUAAAAAGGGCUUUAUAAAUAAAUUUGAUUGAUUGA
Salvelinus fontinalis (brook trout) is the source of this 1235-nucleotide long non-coding RNA. RefSeq lists it as uncharacterized. Lineage: Eukaryota; Metazoa; Chordata; Actinopteri; Salmoniformes; Salmonidae. The record is from RefSeq and is a predicted model, not a curated record. The transcript has 2 exons.